AGUGAACGCUGGCGGUAGGCCUAGCACAUGCAAGUCGAACGGCAGCACAGGAGAGCUUGCUCUCUGGGUGGCGAGUGGCGGACGGGUGAGGAAUACAUCGGAAUCUACUCUGUCGUGGGGGAUAACGUAGGGAAACUUACGCUAAUACCGCAUACGACCUACGGGUGAAAGCGGGGGAUCUUCGGACCUUGCGCGAUUGAAUGAGCCGAUGUCGGAUUAGCUAGUUGGCGGGGUAAAGGCCCACCAAGGCGACGAUCCGUAGCUGGUCUGAGAGGAUGGUCAGCCACACUGGAACUGAGACACGGUCCAGACUCCUACGGGAGGCAGCAGUGGGGAAUAUUGGACAAAGGGCGCAAGCCUGAUCCAGCCAUACCGCGUGGGUGAAGAAGGCCUUCGGGUUGUAAAGCCCUUUUGUUGGGAAAGAAAUCCAGCUGGCUAAUACCCGGUUGGGAUGACGGUACCCAAAGAAUAAGCACCGGCUAACUUCGUGCCAGCCGCCGCCGUAA
This 506-nucleotide ribosomal RNA is filed under the name uncultured bacterium. RNAcentral describes it as "partial 16S ribosomal RNA". It matches the Rfam family "Bacterial small subunit ribosomal RNA", at positions 29 to 523 of the family's 1533-position model. The record is from RNAcentral.